RNAcentral lists this unclassified non-coding RNA (391 nucleotides) under uncultured Glomeromycotina. RNAcentral describes it as "sequence contains 28S rRNA gene". The record is from RNAcentral. Lineage: Eukaryota; Fungi; Glomeromycota.
AGAGUUAAACAGUACGUGAAAUUGUUGAAAGGGAAACGAUUAAAGUCAGUCGUACUGACGAGGAAUCAACCUUUUGAGAGUGGAUUAGUGGGUUCUGCUUGCGACAUCCGCGCUUUUCAGGUGCACUUUCUCGUAUUGUAAGUCAGCGUCGGUUUCGAACGUUACAAAAUGAUCGGGGGAAUGUGGCUUCGAUUUCGGUUGAAGUGUUAUAGCCUCUGGUAGAUGUAACGUUCGAAACCGAGGAUUGCAACGGAUACCCUUACGGGCUAUUCGCCUGGCCUCUGAUACGUCACUUUGGCGUCGAAAGCUUGCUUACGAUGUUAAAGCGUUCGGUCAACAGGUUAGAACGAAUUAAAUUCGUUAAGGACGCUGACGUAAUGGCUUUAAACGA